AGUGGAGAUGAGUGCUAGUGUUGGAUGGUUUCCGCGCGCACUCAGUGCCGGAGCUAACGCAUUAAGCACUCCGCCUGGGGAGUACGACCGCAAGGUUGAAACUCAAAGGAAUUGACGGGGGCCCGCACAAGCGGUGGAGCAUGUGGUUUAAUUCGAAGCUACGCGAAGAACCUUACCAGGUCUUGACAUCUUGCUCACAGCUUAAAAAAAAGACGUUUCCUUCGGGAACGAAGUGACAGGUGGUGCAUGGUCGUCGUCAGCUCGUGUCGUGAGAUGUUGGGUUAAGUCCCGCAACGAGCGCAACCCUUGUUGCUAGUUGCCAUCAUUAAGUUGGGCACUCUAGUGAGACUGCCGGUGACAAACCGGAGGAAGGUGGGGACGACGUCAAAUCAUCAUGCCCCUUAUGACCUGGGCUACACACGUGCUACAAUGGAUGGUACAACGAGUCGCGAACUCGCGAGGGCAAGCUAAUCUCUUAAAACCGUUCUCAGUUCGGACUGCAGGCUGCAACUCGCCUGCAUGAAGUCGGAAUCGCUAGUAAUCGCGGAUCAGCAUGCCGCGGUGAAUACGUUCCCGGGCCUUGUACACACCGCCCGUCACACCAUGAGAGUUUGUAACACCCAAAGUCGGUGGGGUAACCUUUUAGGAGCCAGCCGCCUAAGGUGGGACAGAUGAUUAGGGUGAAUCUAAAAGGGGGGAGAAAAAAAAUUUUUUUUUCCUCUUUCC
This 726-nucleotide ribosomal RNA is filed under the name Limosilactobacillus fermentum. RNAcentral's name for it is "bacterial SSU rRNA". It matches the Rfam family "Bacterial small subunit ribosomal RNA", at positions 801 to 1533 of the family's 1533-position model. Lineage: Bacteria; Bacillati; Bacillota; Bacilli; Lactobacillales; Lactobacillaceae. The record is from RNAcentral.